Molecule: non-coding RNA, 108 nt
Filed under: bovine gut metagenome
Description: FMN riboswitch (RFN element)
Rfam family: FMN riboswitch aptamer (RFN element)
About the family: The RFN element is a highly conserved domain that is found frequently in the 5'-untranslated regions of prokaryotic mRNAs that encode for flavin mononucleotide (FMN) biosynthesis and transport proteins. This element is a metabolite-dependent riboswitch that directly binds FMN in the absence of proteins.
Source: RNAcentral
GUCUUCAGGGCAGGGUGAAAUUCCCGAUCGGCGGUACAGUCCGCGAGCAGCGAUGCAGAACCGGUGCGAUUCCGGUACCGACAGUUACAGUCUGGAUGGAAGAAGACG